This 430-nucleotide ribosomal RNA is filed under the name uncultured prokaryote. RNAcentral describes it as "bacterial SSU rRNA". It matches the Rfam family "Bacterial small subunit ribosomal RNA", at positions 355 to 776 of the family's 1533-position model. The record is from RNAcentral. RNAcentral also lists the same sequence under 1 other name.
UGGGGAAUCUUGCGCAAUGGGCGAAAGCCUGACGCAGCAACGCCGCGUGUGUGAUGAAGGUCUUCGGAUCGUAAAGCACUGUCGGGAGGGACGAAUAAGGGGCGGGCUAACAUCCCGUCCCGAUGACGGUACCUCCAAAGGAAGCACCGGCUAACUCUGUGCCAGCAGCCGCGGUAAUACAGAGGGUGCUAGCGUUGUUCGGAAUUAUUGGGCGUAAAGCGCGUGUAGGCGGCCUUGCAAGUUGGGUGUGAAAGCCCUCGGCUUAACCGAGGAAGUGCGCCCAAAACUACAAGGCUUGAGUACCGGAGAGGGUGGCGGAAUUCUCGGUGUAGAGGUGAAAUUCGUAGAUAUCGGGAGGAACACCAGUGGCGAAGGCGGCCACCUGGACGGAUACUGACGCUGAGACGCGAAAGCGUGGGUAGCAAACAGG